AGGUAACUUUGGAGUUGGCUCUUGUCUAUGUUCCUUGGAACAGGACGUCACAGAGGGUGAGAAUCCCGUGCGAUGAGAUGCCCAAUUCUAUGUAAAGUGCUUUCGAAGAGUCGAGUUGUUUGGGAAUGCAGCUCUAAGUGGGUGGUAAAUUCCAUCUAAAGCUAAAUAUUGGCGAGAGACCGAUAGCGAACAAGUACAGUGAUGGAAAGAUGAAAAGAACUUUGAAAAGAGAGUGAAAAAGUACGUGAAAUUGUUGAAAGGGAAGGGCUUGAGAUCAGACUUGGUAUUUUGCGAUCCUUUCCUUCUUGGUUGGGUUCCUCGCAGCUUACUGGGCCAGCAUCGGUUUGGAUGGUAGGAUAAUGACUAAGGAAUGUGGCUCUACUUCGGUGGAGUGUUAUAG
This 400-nucleotide ribosomal RNA is filed under the name Debaryomyces hansenii. RNAcentral's name for it is "partial large subunit ribosomal RNA". It matches the Rfam family "Eukaryotic large subunit ribosomal RNA", at positions 156 to 562 of the family's 3401-position model. The record is from RNAcentral. Lineage: Eukaryota; Fungi; Ascomycota; Pichiomycetes; Serinales; Debaryomycetaceae.